This is a long non-coding RNA of Tupaia belangeri chinensis (Chinese tree shrew), 760 nucleotides long. RefSeq lists it as uncharacterized. NCBI's taxonomy places the organism in Eukaryota, Metazoa, Chordata, Mammalia, Scandentia, Tupaiidae. The record is from RefSeq and is a predicted model, not a curated record. The transcript is spliced from 3 exons.
ACGGAACCUCUGCAGGUGGCCGCAUACACGCUGCCCCACUUAGGGCACGGCCCGCGCUUCGCUGCUCUCUGCGAUCGGAGACGGCCACCUGGUCAUUCACGCUGCACUCCGCCCCACUCAGCCCUCUGCAGCCCCGUCUCUCCCUGCCUGCCCACCCUGUCCCACCGGGAGGUCCGCCCAGGGAGAAGCAAACCUCGCUGCUUCGUUCCCAGGCACACGCCCAGCAGCCAGACCAGCACGGGUGCUCAGCAGACGGCCAGGGUGGACUAGCGAGUGGACGGACAGCUGGCAGGCUAACUUGCUGCUGGCCCGCGAGAGGUGGAGAAUACAUGUCUGCUGCACGAGGGCAUCUUGUCCAGUACAGAAGGCCCCUGCAGCGUUCCAGAGACCAGCCGGUGACGUCAGCACAUGCCUGCCACCUCGCCCGGAGGUCCCGCAGCUGCAGCAUGGCAGUGUCCCGGGAGGGCACCCUCUCACAUGGAAGAGUGAUGCUCUUCCUCGUCACGCCCCACACAGGGACAGGGCAGAACUUUUCAGACAUGUACAGAAAAGGGAAUAACACUAGGAACAACCUUCUCCUGCUCAAAUAAUUGACAAUGGAUGGCCGAUCUUGACUGGGACGAUCAUAAUCUUCCAUUUCAACUCCUUGCUCCUGGUGGAUUGUUUUAAGCAAAUCUCAUCUAUCAUACCCAAGGUAAGAAGAAAAAGUGGCCCCUCCAAAAUGCAGUCACAUACUAAUCCCCAGAACCUGCAGACAUCA